Brienomyrus brachyistius is the source of this 431-nucleotide long non-coding RNA. RefSeq lists it as uncharacterized. The transcript is spliced from 5 exons. The record is from RefSeq and is a predicted model, not a curated record. Lineage: Eukaryota; Metazoa; Chordata; Actinopteri; Osteoglossiformes; Mormyridae.
AGGAGAUACUCUGUACAUGGGUGCCUGCCUGGAUCACCACCUGGACAAAGAGACGGCACAGGUGGACAUGGGAGAGAAAGCAGACACGGGUCUGGAGUGGAAGCAGAAGACUUCCUAAAAAAUAAGUAGGGAAAUCAGCGGCAACACCUGAACAAAAGAGAUUCAGUCAGGCUGUUGUAAGAUCAUCCUUGGGUGCAUCAAAAAUGUGGACCACUGCCUGCAAGGGAGCGGAAAUUGACUGGAACACUGUCAUAAGCAAAAUCUGUCACAGCAGAGUUGCCCUGCAGCCUCACCGGCAAAGAGCAGGAAAUUCGGGAAAAAGCCUUAAAAAUGCUCCGAAACAGGAGGGAGGACCUCCGAAGGUCAGGAAAGAAAGAACAGAAGCACUUGAGGUUUGCCUCCAGGAUAUCACACCUCCUAUUAAGCGCCUU